UGCGAGUUGAUGGAAUACCUAAAUUUUCCAUGGCAAACUGCUCAGUAACACAUGAUCAACUUACCCUAUAGAGAAAAAUAACCUCGGGAAACUGAGGAUAAUGUUUCAUAGUUGAAAAGGCUUGGAAAAGUUUUUCAAUCAAAAGGAUAAAAAAAAUGGUUUUUAUCCGCUAUAGGAUAGGAUCGUGCUCGAUUAUGGUUGUUGGUGAGGUAAUGGCUCACCAAGCCGAUAAUCGAUAGGGGCCGUGAGAGCGGGAGCCCCGAGAUGGGUACUGAGACAACGACCCAGGCCUUACGAGGCGCAGCAGGCGCGGAACCUCCGCAAUACACGAAAGUGUGACGGGGUUACCCAAAGUGUUCAGUUUUGAACUGUGGUAGGUGAGUAAUGUCCCCUACUAGAAAGGAGAGGGCAAGGCUGGUGCCAGCCGCCGCGGUAAAACCAGCUCUUCAAGUGGUCGGGAUAAUUAUUGGGCUUAAAGUGUCCGUAGCCGGUUUAGUAAGUUCCUGGUAAAAUCGGGUAGCUUAACUAUCUGUAUGCUAGGAAUACUGCUAAACUAGAGGGCGGGAGAGGUCUGAGGUACUACAGGGGUAGGGGGUGAAAUCUUAUAAUCCUUGUAGGACCACCAGUGGCGAAGGCGUCAGACUGGAACGUGCCUGACGGUGAGGGACGAAAGCCAGGGGAGCGAACCGGAUUAGAUACCCGGGUAGUCCUGGCCGUAAACGAUGCAUACUAGGUGAUGGCAUGGCCAUGAGCCGUGUCAGUG
RNAcentral lists this ribosomal RNA (763 nucleotides) under uncultured archaeon. RNAcentral describes it as "bacterial SSU rRNA". It matches the Rfam family "Archaeal small subunit ribosomal RNA", at positions 52 to 800 of the family's 1478-position model. The record is from RNAcentral.